Molecule: non-coding RNA, 587 nt
Organism: Kogia breviceps (pygmy sperm whale)
Lineage: Eukaryota; Metazoa; Chordata; Mammalia; Artiodactyla; Physeteridae
Source: RefSeq, a predicted model, not a curated record
CCAAAGGAAAAGCAUUACAAUACCAUCAACUACUUAAGGGCAAUUCCCUGUAUGAUAUUUUAUAAAUACCCCAUUGGAUCAAGCACGGAACCCUUUACACACAGGAAGAGCUCCAUGAAAAGAACUACUGACACCCAACUGGGCCCUUCCCUGCCCAGGUCUCGUCCACGGCCCCACCCACACCCAUCAAUGGUUACUAUAAGCCUUGCCUGAAUUCCCAGAACUACUUCCUUGGGACACUUACCGUGGUCUAUCUUGUCUUCAUCUCCCCUACUAUAUACUGUAAGCUCCUGAAAGAUAUUUGCCUGUGUCACUCUGACUUCUUCCACAUUUUUGCUCAAAUGUCAUCUCAAGAGACACUCCGUGACCAUCCACAUAAAGGAGUAUUACUCCCCUGCAUUCCCUAUUCCCUUUACCCCUUCUUUACAUUCUCUGCAGCACUUUCUCCUUCCCUCCUGACGUGCCUAUGUUGGUGCAUCUUUCCUCUGCUAGAACAUCAACUCUAGGAAAAGACUUAAUUUUGUUCACUGUUAUAUGUACCAGGCCCCAAACCAUAUGUUACAGACACUCAAUACUGUUGAAUAAAA